RNAcentral lists this ribosomal RNA (253 nucleotides) under uncultured bacterium. RNAcentral's name for it is "partial 16S ribosomal RNA". It matches the Rfam family "Bacterial small subunit ribosomal RNA", at positions 524 to 776 of the family's 1533-position model. The record is from RNAcentral.
UACGUAGGGUGCGAGCGUUAAUCGGAAUUACUGGGCGUAAAGCGUGCGCAGGCGGUUCGUUAAGUUCGUCGUGAAAGCCCCGGGCUCAACCUGGGAAUGGCGAUGGAAACUGGCGGGCUGGAGUGUGGCAGAGGGGGGUGGAAUUCCGCGUGUAGCAGUGAAAUGCGUAGAGAUGCGGAGGAACACCGAUGGCGAAGGCAGCCCCCUGGGCCAACACUGACGCUCAGGCACGGAAGCGUGGGGAGCAAACAGG